Molecule: ribosomal RNA, 492 nt
Filed under: uncultured bacterium
Lineage: Bacteria
Description: partial 16S ribosomal RNA
Rfam family: Bacterial small subunit ribosomal RNA
Source: RNAcentral
AGUGAACGCUGGCGGUAGGCCUAACACAUGCAAGUCGAACGGCAGCACAGUAAGAGCUUGCUCUUACGGGUGGCGAGUGGCGGACGGGUGAGGAAUACAUCGGAAUCUACUUUUUCGUGGGGGAUAACGUAGGGAAACUUACGCUAAUACCGCAUACGACCUACGGGUGAAAGCAGGGGAUCUUCGGACCUUGCGCGAUUGAAUGAGCCGAUGUCGGAUUAGCUAGUUGGCGGGGUAAAGGCCCACCAAGGCGACGAUCCGUAGCUGGUCUGAGAGGAUGAUCAGCCACACUGGAACUGAAGCACGGUCCAGACUCCUACGGGAGGCAGCAGUGGGGAAUAUUGGACAAUGGGCGCAAGCCUGAUCCAGCCAUACCGCGUGGGUGAAGAAGGCCUUCGGGUGGUAAAGCCCUUUUGUUGGGAAAGAAAAGCAGCAGGUUAAUACCCCGCUGUUCUGACGGUACCCAAAGAAUAAGCACCGGCUAACUUCGUG